This is a long non-coding RNA of Notothenia coriiceps (black rockcod), 1111 nucleotides long. RefSeq lists it as uncharacterized. The transcript is spliced from 2 exons. Lineage: Eukaryota; Metazoa; Chordata; Actinopteri; Perciformes; Nototheniidae. The record is from RefSeq and is a predicted model, not a curated record.
UAGGAGCAGGAGCAGGAGCAGCAGCAGCAGCAGCAGUAGAGAAGCAGCAGACAGCAGCAGCAGUAGAGGCAGCAGUAGAGGCAGCAGCAGCAGCAGUAAUAUUAAGAGGUUUCCCAAGAGGAGCAGUGGUAGAAGGAUCUGGGGCAUCAGGAGAAGUAAAGGAGAAGCAACAGGAGCAGAGAUCGGAGCAGUUGGAGGGGAAAAAUAAGUAGCAAGAGUAGUAGAAGAAGUAGCAGCAGCCACAAUGUAAAGUAAUGGAGACCUCCGGCCAGGCCUGGGUCUCCAGCACCUUCAGGUUAACCUCCAUCCUGGUUUAUAGACGUUAGAAACUCUGUUAGGAUCAAGGGGAAUGAACUGUUCUGACAGAGAGGGUUAGAGAAAAGAAAAGGGACUGUUUAGAGAAUCACUUUCAGUAAUCUUGUGUCUCCUAAAAGCUAGAAACAGUUUGAAGAAUGUUUAGAUUCUAAAUCACUUUCCCCCAAAACUGCUUGGACUGAGAGCCUGACGCUGGAGAGCUGAGACGGCUGUGUGCAGUUCUGGGAGCAACCACACUGAGCCAUUACCUGAAGGACGAUCAUAUCCACUGCAGUAGCGUUGUCGUUGAAUGCUGUAAUUGUUUCCUGGACCAUUUGGUGCCCAACGGCUAGCGAGCGAAAACAGAAGGAUAAAGCUUUGAAGGGGGCAGUAGCUUUGAAGUGUUCUUGAAGGACUGGAUCUCAGGUCACCUGACACUUGGAAACCACUCAUUGUUGAAAAUUCCCCGAAAACAAUCAGAAAGGCUGCAUCUGCUAAGACCUGGAGGAAUCUGAAGACUAAUAAAUACAAUUUCACUGACAGUAACAAGGCCCAGAACUGAAGACCUGAGGGACUCCCUUCAUCUGAGACUUUGCUGUUACUUUGGGCUCCAACGUGGACCUGCCAGUUAUUCUCACUUCACUGCAUUCCACCGCUGAUCAUUUUAAAUAAUAUUAACAUUGUUGGAGCCAUUUAUGUUAACUGUUGGCAUUGGGGGUGGGGGAAACAAUCGAUACAGCCUAGUCACUGUAGAUUGUAGCAUAUCGCUCUGAAAGACGGUCGCAAACUUCACUGAUAAUUUCUAAUUUAUUGAAAA